GGUGUGUUGGCAGAAUAGUGCAACCGAUUUAGAAUCGGUUUAUGGUACAAUACCACACACCA
Molecule: transfer RNA, 62 nt
Filed under: Amynthas yamade
Lineage: Eukaryota; Metazoa; Annelida; Clitellata; Crassiclitellata; Megascolecidae
Description: tRNA-Leu1
Source: RNAcentral